Molecule: ribosomal RNA, 398 nt
Filed under: uncultured bacterium
Lineage: Bacteria
Description: partial 16S ribosomal RNA
Rfam family: Bacterial small subunit ribosomal RNA
Source: RNAcentral
CCUACGGGUGGCAGCAGUGAGGAAUAUUGGUCAAUGGACGCAAGUCUGAACCAGCCAUGCCGCGUGCAGGAUGACGGCUCUAUGAGUUGUAAACUGCUUUUGUACGAGGGUCAACUCCGUCACGUGUGUCUGGUUGACAGUAUCGUAUGAAUAAGGAUCGGCUAAUUCCGUGCCAGCAGCCGCGGUAAUACGGAGGUUCCGGGCGUUAUCCGGAUUUAUUGGGUUUAAAGGGAGCGUAGGCGGUGUGUUAAGUUCGUGGUGAAAUGUCGCGGCUCAACCGCGGAACUGCCUCGAAAACUGUGGGACUAGAGUGUAGUUGCGGUAGGCGGAAUGAAUGGUGUAGCGGUGAAAUGCUUAGAUAUCACGCAGAACACCGAUUGCGAAGGCAGCCUACCGAA